This 427-nucleotide ribosomal RNA is filed under the name uncultured bacterium. RNAcentral's name for it is "bacterial SSU rRNA". It matches the Rfam family "Bacterial small subunit ribosomal RNA", at positions 355 to 796 of the family's 1533-position model. The record is from RNAcentral.
UCGAGAAUCUUCCGCAAUGGACGAAAGUCUGACGGAGCGACGCCGCGUGAUGGAUGAAGUCCCUCUGGGACGUAAACAUCUUUUGUCGUGGAGAAAGUUUUGAUAGUACACGAAGAAUAAGGGGUUGCUAAACUCGUGCCAGCAGCAGCGGUAAUACGAGUGCCCCAAGCGUUAUCCGGAAUUAUUGGGCGUAAAGGGUGUGUAGGUGGUGGUAUUAGUCUUCUGUCAAAUUCUUCGGCUCAACCGGGGUCCUGCGGAGGAAACGGUACCACUAGAGGAUGCGAGGGGUGAAUGGAACUCAUGGAGUAGGGGUGAAAUCCGUUGAUAUCAUGGGGAACACCGAAAGCGAAGGCAAUUCACUGGCGCAUUCCUGACACUGAAACACGAAAGCGUGGGUAGCGAACGGGAUUAGAUACCCGGGUAGUCC